Molecule: ribosomal RNA, 402 nt
Filed under: uncultured bacterium
Lineage: Bacteria
Description: bacterial SSU rRNA
Rfam family: Bacterial small subunit ribosomal RNA
Source: RNAcentral
UAGGGAAUAUUGCACCAUGGGCGAAAGCCUGAUGCAGCAACGCCGCGUGAGCGAUGAAGGCCUUCGGGUCGUAAAGCUCUUUUCAAGGGGAAGAGGAAGGACGGUACCCUUGGAAUAAGUCUCGGCUAACUACGUGCCAGCAGCCGCGGUAAAACGUAGGAGGCGAGCGUUAUCCGGAUUUACUGGGCGUAAAGCGCGUGUAGGCGGCGGAGAAAGUUGGAUGUGAAAGCUCCCGGCUUAACUGGGAGAUGUCGUUCAAAACUACUUUGCUUGAGUUUGGUAGAGGAAAUGGAAUUCCGGGAGUAGUGGUGAAAUGCGUAGAUAUCCGGAGGAACACCGAGUGGCGAGAGCGAUUUUCUGGACCAAUACUGACGCUCAGACGCGAAAGCUAGGGUAGCAAAC